UACAGAGGGGGCAAGCGUUAUUCGGAAUUAUUGGGCGUAAAGGGCGCGUAGGCGGCUUUGCAAGUGACGGGUGAAAGCCCUCGGCUUAACCGAGGAACUGCCUGUCAGACUGUAAGGCUUGAGACCGGGAGAGGUGAGUGGAAUUCCCAGUGUAGCGGUGAAAUGCGUAGAUAUUGGGAGGAACACCAGUGGCGAAGGCAGCUCGCUGGGACGUUACUGACGCUGAGACGCGAAAGCGUGGGGAGCAAACAGG
This 253-nucleotide ribosomal RNA is filed under the name uncultured bacterium. Its description in RNAcentral is "partial 16S ribosomal RNA". It matches the Rfam family "Bacterial small subunit ribosomal RNA", at positions 524 to 776 of the family's 1533-position model. The record is from RNAcentral.